Molecule: ribosomal RNA, 323 nt
Filed under: uncultured eukaryote
Lineage: Eukaryota
Description: partial 18S ribosomal RNA
Rfam family: Eukaryotic small subunit ribosomal RNA
Source: RNAcentral
CCCUUAGAUGUCCUGGGCCGCACGCGCGCUACACUGAUGCAUUCAACGAGUUUUACCUUGGCCGAGAGGCCUGGGCAAUCUUUUAAACCUGCAUCGUGAUAGGGAUAGAUCAUUGCAAUUAUUGAUCUUGAACGAGGAAUUCCUAGUAAACGCGAGUCAUCAGCUCGCAUUGAUUACGUCCCUGCCCUUUGUACACACCGCCCGUCGCACCUACCGAUUGAAUGUUUCGGUGAAGAUUCCGGAUAGGACUUUUUUGAUUUAUUUCAAUUUUGUCUUAAAAGCUAUCUAAACCCCAACAUUUAGAGGAAGGUGAAGUCGUAACA